UACAAGCUACGUGGAUAACGGUAGUUUAGCAAAUUUAUAAACGCCAAAGAGGACAAAUAAAAAGUUUAGCAAAGAGCACGGCCGUGGCUAAGUCAGGAUAUCUCACUGUACAGAUGUUGAACGUCAGUGCUAAAUGGUUUACCAGGCACUAAGUGUGGACUAUUUUCUGUGGAUGCUGCUCUGAGCCCCCUCCAUGGUUUUCAAGGUCACCAGAUAAUUUUAGAAGCUGCUGUUCAAGCUUAAUUUUUAAAUGCAGCCUCUUUCUCUGGAUUUCAUCUGUGUUGGACGUGACCUGAAGCAGCCGUUGUUUGAUCCAUUCAGGGCCUUGCAUGUUGCAAGUUGAUGGCAUGAAUCACAAAUGUCAGAGAAGCUGCAUGGGUCCAUCAGACUGGAGAGCCAUGCUGCGUGGACACAAGUACAGACUCCAUUACAAACACAGACUGUGCAAGUGGGCCCUUAGGAGUGUCGCUUCCAGCCACACAGCAAACUACCCCAUCCCCGACAAACAACAAGUGAACCAGAGAUCUCCCUCUGUCCCAAUGCACUAGACACUUACAGCUCCAACACUGGGCCAAGCACUCCACUGCAGCUUUUGCAGCUGGGCUGCCCUGCCUCACUUGGAUGCAUCAACAAAGCUUGAAGUGGCCACUCUAAUCUGGUUAAGUAUUGCCUGGUUGGGGAGAAAUUAGUCGAAUUCUUUUAACUUUUCAAACAAACAUAAUACAGUCAAACUUGCUGGAUGGGAAUCAAUUACAUGUACUGGAAAUAGGUUCGGGGGGAAUAUCAUUUCAGUUCUGGAAAUCAUCUAAUACAUCUAUUCAACGACAUAUGCCUGUAGUGUCAUAUCGAAGCCAUAUUUCAGUCCAGUGUAAUGAAUAAGCCAGAGGAAUAUCUGUUGAAACACUACCGGAAUAUGUUUCACAAAUCUUGUUCACCCACUGGUGAUGUUAGCCAUUAUCAGCAGUACUUCAAAAAUAGUUAUUCCUCCCCUAAAUCCAUUAAUAGAUAUUGUGAGAAAUUCUGGGAUAAUUCUAAGAUAAUUGCGUAGUUUUUCAAUAUGAUUGAUUUUAGCAUUGCAUAUGUAUAUUUGUUUUAUAUUUUACUAAAAUUUAACUUCAAAUUCUUUUCCUAGAUGUAUCGAUCUGUUUAAUCACAUCAGUUCUGUAUAAGACAUAGUCAGAGCAUGGCUUUGAUUCUGUGACAUUCGGUAAUAUUCAUAUUCUUGUGAAAGGAUAUUUCCGAUUGCUUGCUACCGCUAACUGCUUCUAGAUUUUGUAGUUCAGCGCUUGCUUUAGCAUGCCAGAAGGAUGUACAUUUUAAUUACAUAUAUUAUAUAUUUAUAUAUAUUGUACCAUCACCAACCAGUUUGGUAGAAUUGUGCAACACAUGAAAUCAUAUAGAUCAAGAAAUUACUCACCAUUUCACUCAAACUUCUGGUGACAGCUUUUGUCUAUGUAUGUAUAACUAAGAAUAUCCAUCUAUUUUCCUGUCAAACAGCAUUGUUUGAUGAGUCAUUACCAUAGAUGAAUGCUUGUAGAGAUAUAGUGAAAGAAAUAUCUGGCGUGAUACCGUUUCACUAUUGACAGCCUCCCUUUUCAAGAGGUAAAAUCUGGGAAAACAGACUUGUUUUAUUAUUGACUUGCCGAGCAGAUGGUUUGGAGGGAAAAAAAGAAUAUGAUCACAAUACAAACAUUUUUGUUGUAUUGAA
Molecule: long non-coding RNA, 1708 nt
Organism: Myripristis murdjan (pinecone soldierfish)
Lineage: Eukaryota; Metazoa; Chordata; Actinopteri; Holocentriformes; Holocentridae
Exons: 5
Source: RefSeq, a predicted model, not a curated record